RNAcentral lists this ribosomal RNA (807 nucleotides) under Flavobacterium sp. B174. RNAcentral's name for it is "partial 16S ribosomal RNA". The record is from RNAcentral. Lineage: Bacteria; Pseudomonadati; Bacteroidota; Flavobacteriia; Flavobacteriales; Flavobacteriaceae.
GGAUACUUAUCACUUUCGCUUAGCCACUGAGAUUGCUCCCAACAGCUAGUAUCCAUCGUUUACGGCGUGGACUACCAGGGUAUCUAAUCCUGUUCGCUACCCACGCUUUCGUCCAUCAGCGUCAAUCCAUUAGUAGUAACCUGCCUUCGCAAUUGGUAUUCCAUGUAAUCUCUAAGCAUUUCACCGCUACACUUCAUAUUCUAGUUACUUCCUAAUAAUUCAAGUUUAGCAGUAUCAAUGGCCGUUCCACCGUUGAGCGAUGGGCUUUCACCACUGACUUACUAAACCGCCUACGGACCCUUUAAACCCAAUGAUUCCGGAUAACGCUUGGAUCCUCCGUAUUACCGCGGCUGCUGGCACGGAGUUAGCCGAUCCUUAUUCUUACGAUACCGUCAAGCUCCAACACGUUGGAGUGUUUCUUCUCGUANAAAAGCAGUUUACAAUCCAUAGGACCGUCAUCCUGCACGCGGCAUGGCUGGAUCAGGCUUGCGCCCAUUGUCCAAUAUUCCUCACUGCUGCCUCCCGUAGGAGUCUGGUCCGUGUCUCAGUACCAGUGUGGGGGAUCUCCCUCUCAGGACCCCUACCCAUCGUAGCCUUGGUAAGCCGUUACCUUACCAACUAGCUAAUGGGACGCAUGCUCAUCUUUUACCGUUGUGACUUUAAUAGUGAUCUCAUGCGAGAUUGCUAUGCUAUGAGGUAUUAAUCCAAAUUUCUCUGGGCUAUCCCUCUGUAAAAGGUAGAUUGCAUACGCGUUACGCACCCGUGCGCCGGUCUCUAGUUCCGAAGAACUAUACCCCUCGACUGCAU